AUUGAACGCUGGCGGCAGGCCUAACGCAUGCAAGUCGAGCGGAUGAAGGGAGCUUGCUCCUGGAUUCAGCGGCGGACGGGUGAGUAAUGCCUAGGAAUCUGCCUGGUAGUGGGGGAUGACGUCCGGAAACGAGCGCUAAUACCGCAUACGUCCUGAGGGAGAAAGUGGGGGAUCUUCGGACCUCACGCUAUCAGAUGAGCCUAGGUCGGAUUAGCUAGUUGGUGGGGUAAAGGCUUACCAAGGCGACGAUCCGUAACUGGUCUGAGAGGAUGAUCAGUCACACUGGAACUGGGACACGGACCAGACGCCUACGGGAGGCAGCAGUGGGGAAUGUUGGACAAUGGUGGAGAGCAUUGUCCAGCGAGGCGGAGUGUGUGAAGACGGUCUUCGGAUUGUAAAGCACGUUUAGUUGUGGGGAAGCGCAGUAAGUUAAUACCUUGCUGUUUUGACGUUACCAACAGAAUAAGCACCGGCUAACUUCGUG
This 484-nucleotide ribosomal RNA is filed under the name uncultured bacterium. RNAcentral's name for it is "partial 16S ribosomal RNA". It matches the Rfam family "Bacterial small subunit ribosomal RNA", at positions 30 to 507 of the family's 1533-position model. The record is from RNAcentral.